Molecule: long non-coding RNA, 1545 nt
Filed under: Arabidopsis lyrata
Lineage: Eukaryota; Viridiplantae; Streptophyta; Magnoliopsida; Brassicales; Brassicaceae
Description: long non-coding RNA (ALYR_LNC001008)
Source: RNAcentral
ACCAUUAAAAAUAAUUAUUUUAUUUAGAAUUUUGUCUACAAAAACAAAUGAAAUAAAGUAGAAAAUACUAUGAAAGGUUUUUAAAAUAUUAGCCUCUGAUUGUCAUGUUAUAUAUAUCACGUGACCCAGCUUCGUUACAUUGAUACAUUCCCUUGUUCUUCUUUGAGAACAUAUACCAUGGCAGCAGACUAACUCCAUUGUCCCCUUGUCACCAGAAUUAUUCAUGUGCCAACCACUCGUACGAUCUUCAAGCAAACUCUUUGAAGUUUGGAAUUUUACUCUCUUGUUGAUUUAAUUUGUAUGGCUCUGUAUGUGACGUUUUAUUUCAUUGGUGGUGACCCUUCUAGUUGCCCUUCCGCAGCCAUUGUUUUUUUUGGUCAUCAGGGAUGGUCUGACAUUCAUAUUAUGUGAAGACUCUUACCAAAAAGAGUAGAUCUUUAAGGUUGGACGACAACUCAAAUGCCUUAAAGUUUCUAGUUGUGUUCACAAGUCACAAAACAUCAUCAAAAAAGUUCAUGGGUCUUACCAAGAACAUCUUUUGAGAUCGCUGGAUGAUUUCUUUAGUUCCUUAUUAUUCCUCUAGUGGUUGGUGAUAUCUGGUCAACGAUGGAGAUUAAUAUUAUCACUCAUGAUCUAUAACUUCAUUUAUUCACCUUUAAUUUUCUUGUACCUGUGGUUGAGGAAACCAAAUAAAAAAUAUUUCAUGUGAGUAGUUAAAUAAUCAUGGUAAUGACUAACGAAGUUCACUUAAAACCCUAAUAUCACUUCAUUCUCCUUAAAUCACAUCAACAUUUGCUGGACAUAGUUACCUAGCGAAAGAACAAUCUUAGAAAAAAAAACAAACAUACACGUUGAACUCUAGCCAUCUAGCACCGUAAACUCGGGAAAAUGGCUCGUUGUUCUAUGUGUUAUCGAAUGGCUUGAAACAUGUACCAAAACUCAAUUUAAAAAUUUGAGUAAUGGGAUAAAACCCAUGCAUUGGAGCGCUGUUUAGUUGAUUAACCAUAUCUAUAUCUCUUUACAUUAACCACUAUGGUCUGGAAGAUUAAAGAAGGUUAAUAGAAAAUUGAAGGAAAGUAAGAGUCAGUUUUGUAAUCUUAUCUUCUAAAAACUCUGCUUCACUAAACGAAAUCAAAGAAGCAGCUAAAUACCUAAGAAACCAUAGUUCCAAGUGCUGUUUCCUUUCUAAUACGGAACAGAAAUGCCAUCUGUUUGAUUUUCAAGAUAAUGAAAAACAGUGGAGCAAUUCUUCUUAAUUACCAAGAUAUGUGAGUGGGAAAAAGGUCGAACCUCAUAGAUGAUAUCGAAGAAGCGUGUCGGUCGAAUCAGUGGGUAUAGAGAUGAAUGGAGGCUAUCCCCAGUUAAAGGAAUCUGUACCAAACUGAAACAUCUUCUACUCAGUCAAAUCGCAAUCUGACUUAUUUCACAAACGCAAAAAAAAGCUCAUUGUGUAGAACAAAUUGUAUAAACGAUGUUAUAGAAUCGACCUUCUUACUAUUGAACGGUACGUAGAGAUGGAAUCGGGCUCUUGUUCCUAUUGAACGA